GCCUAGGGAGCUGCUCUCUGACCUCCAUCAGCACCUGGGUUUUCGAUGCGUUAAGGGGGGUAUAGUUGCGGAAUCUUCCUGGGGGAGAACCCCGUCAAGCCCGAUGAUCCGGACUUCCCUGCCUGUGUACCCGAGGAGGAGUCUGGACAUGCUUGUGCCCGGGAGGAGUUCGAGAAUGUGGCCGAGCUUCUCUCGGCCCUUUUUCAACUGCGGGCUUACUUGAGUCUCCU
RNAcentral lists this long non-coding RNA (230 nucleotides) under Elaeis guineensis (African oil palm). RNAcentral's name for it is "long non-coding RNA (EGUI_LNC081431)". Lineage: Eukaryota; Viridiplantae; Streptophyta; Magnoliopsida; Arecales; Arecaceae. The record is from RNAcentral.